Molecule: RNA transcript, 1861 nt
Organism: Manihot esculenta (cassava)
Lineage: Eukaryota; Viridiplantae; Streptophyta; Magnoliopsida; Malpighiales; Euphorbiaceae
Gene name: fumarylacetoacetase
Exons: 15
Source: RefSeq, a predicted model, not a curated record
UCCUUCCUCUUUCCAAACUUCUCAAAAAAAGCCAACUGUCCUUCUCCAGUGGUCGCUGGCCAUCUACCCUCGUUAAUCGUAAUUAUAGAAGAUCGUUCCUUCCUCCAACUACCACCUCACUCACCCUUCUCUUUAUUUUGUCCUGCUUCACUCUGCAACUCACUCAUCCACUGCUCCUCACGACGCCGUUUCUUAAGCUAGCAAAUGGCUCUUCAAUCCUUCAUCCCUGUCCAUCCCGACUCCCACUUCCCUAUCCAAAAUCUUCCCUAUGGAGUUUUCAAGCCCCAACCAACUUCGACGCCUCGACCGGCCGUCGCAAUUGGCGAUUACGCUCUCGACCUCUACGAGAUUGCUCUUGCUGGCCUUUUCUACGGUCCUAUCCUCAAAGGCUCUGAUUGUUUCCUUCAGCCUAACUUGAACAAAUUUUUGGCCAUGGGAAGGCCGGCUUGGAAGGAAGCUCGUGUCACACUUCAAAAGCUUUUGUCAUCUUCUGAACCUGCAUUGCGUGAUAAUGAAAGUUUGAGGCAGAAAUCGCUUGUGCCAUUGAGCAAGGUGGAAAUGCUUCUGCCUGUUGCUAUUGGGGACUACACGGACUUCUUUUCUUCGAUGCACCAUGCGAAGAAUUGUGGGACCAUAUUUCGUGGACCGCAGAAUCCUAUUCCAGCAAACUGGUUUCACCUUCCCAUUGCAUAUCAUGGACGAGCUUCUUCUAUUGUUAUAUCUGGAACAGAUAUCGUGAGACCAAGAGGUCAAGGCCAUCCAGCUGGAAAUUCCCCACCUUAUUUUGGACCUUCCAAGAAGCUAGACUUUGAGCUAGAAAUGGCUGCUGUAGUUGGCCCUGGAAAUGAAUUAGGGAAACCUGUGGAUGUUAAUGAAGCUGGAGAUCAUAUAUUUGGACUUGUAUUAAUGAAUGAUUGGAGUGCUAGAGAUAUCCAAGCGUGGGAGUAUGUGCCUCUUGGGCCUUUUCUUGGAAAGAGUUUUGGUACUACAAUAUCCCCUUGGAUUGUAACACUUGAUGCUUUGGAGCCUUAUGCUUGUGAUGCCCCCAAACAGGAUCCCAAUCCAUUGCCGUAUCUAGCUGAAAAAAAAUCCAAAAACUAUGAUAUCACACUAGAGGUCCAAAUUAAACCAGCAGGACAAGAAGAUUCAUGUUUGGUCACAAGAAGCAACUUCAAGAACUUGAGCUCUCAUAAGCAAAGGAUAUCAUAUAGUAUACCCAUAACAAAUUUUAUGUGCUACUGUAUUCUCCUGGCAGUGAUAUAUCUCAUUUGUCCCUUCAUACCAUUGAUUUUUUGUUUAGAGACUGCCAUCAAAUUUCUACAUGUAUUGGACAUUAACUCAACAGCUUGCCCACCAUACAAUAAAUGGCUGCAACCUAAGGCCAGGCGAUCUACUUGGAACUGGAACAAUUAGUGGACCUGAGCCAGAAUCUCUUGGAUGCUUGUUAGAACUAACAUGGAAUGGAACAAAACCAUUGUCAUUAAAUGGAACAACCCGAACAUUCCUAGAAGAUGGAGAUGAAGUCAUCUUCAGUGGUUAUUCUAAGGGAAAUGGUUAUAAUGUUGGGUUUGGAACAUGCUCUGGAAAAAUUCUUCCAUCGCUGCCAUGUUGAAAUUACUGUUCUUUUUCAGUUUGUAUUUUCAGUAAUUUUUUUUCUUAGCUGUGAUUGUACUUGGUGAAGCUUAUAGAAAACUGCUCUGUCCGCAAUUGCCAAUAACUGGUUGUUAGCCAAAAGUUGUGUGCCUACAUAGAAUGGCAACGUUUUAGCUAUGAAGGCUGAAAUGGUUGUGACAAUUAUAUUUCUCAACAUUAUGAUCUUUUGCUGCUGAGAAUUAAAAGAAAUGCUUUUGUAUUGGUCCAA